Molecule: transfer RNA, 64 nt
Filed under: Agrilus biguttatus
Lineage: Eukaryota; Metazoa; Arthropoda; Insecta; Coleoptera; Buprestidae
Description: tRNA-Pro
Source: RNAcentral
CAAGGGGUAGUUUAAGUAAAAAUAUUAAUUUUGGAGAUUAAUGAUAAGAUUAUCUUUCCCUUGA